RNAcentral lists this ribosomal RNA (729 nucleotides) under uncultured bacterium. Its description in RNAcentral is "bacterial SSU rRNA". It matches the Rfam family "Bacterial small subunit ribosomal RNA", at positions 766 to 1501 of the family's 1533-position model. The record is from RNAcentral.
GAGCCGAUACGGAUUAGAUACCCGGGUAGUCCACGCCGUAACGUUGGGCACUAGGUGUCGGGGGUAUCGACCCCUCCGGUGCCGCAGCUAACGCAUUAAGUGCCCUGCCUGGGGAGUACGGCCGCAAGGCUAAAACUCAAAGGAAUUGGCGGGGGCCCGCACAAGCAGCGGAGCGUGUGGUUUAAUUCGAUGCAACGCGAAGAACCUCACCUAGGCUUGACAUGCUGGUAGUAGAACCCCGAAAGGGGAACCACUCGUAAAGUCGAGAGCCAGCACAGAUGCUGCAUGGCUGUCGUCAGCUCGUGCCGUGAGGUGUUGGGUUAAGUCCCGCAACGAGCGCAACCCUCGCCGUUAGUUACCAUGUCUAACGGGACCGCCGGUUUCAAACCGGAGGAAGGUGGGGAUGACGUCAAGUCAGCACGGCUCUUACGCCUAGGGCUACACACACGCUACAAUGGCCGGUACAACGGGAUGCCAAGGGGCGACCCGGAGCCAAUCCUAUCAAAGCCGGUCUCAGUUGGGAUUGCAGGCUGCAACUCGCCUGCAUGAACGCGGAGUUGCUAGUAACCGCAGGUCAGCACACUGCGGUGAAUACGUUCCCGGGCCUUGUACACACCGCCCGUCACGUCAUGAAAGUUGGAAACGCCUGAAGUCGGUGAGCCAACCCGCAAGGGAGGCAGCUGCCGAGGGCGGAGCCAGCGAUUGGGACGAAGUCGUAACAAGGUAACA